GCUUCAGAUAAAACACAUACAUUUCGUUUGGGAUGAAGUCCCUUUUAUUCUAAUUAAAACAUAUACAUAUCCUCCUUUCUGAACCAUAUGGAAUAGAUCUAGUAUUCUUGCUCUUGCCUAGUACCACAUUUCUCAGAGGACUCAGUCCAUGUUUGACUGAGUGCAUUGCUCUGGGCCCAAAGUGAUGAGAACAUUUCAUGUUUCAGAAGUGUCAGUCCAGGGGCAGCCAGCUCCAUUGCUCUGGGUCUGAGGUGAGGGAGGACAUCAUGGCAGAAGGGCAUUUUGAAGGGAAUUCCCUCACCUCAUGGUAGCCACGGAGCAGAGAGAAAGGAGGACCAGGUGACAAAAUAGAAUCUCCAAGGGCAUGCCCCCAGUGACCUACUUCUUCCAACCAGCCAUGCCCCACCUUCCCACAGUUACCACCCAAUACAUUAUUAAUUCACCCUAUGAAUUUAUUUAUCGAUCUGGUCACCAUUCUUGUAGUCUAAUAAUUUAUCCUUUGAACAUUUCUGCAUUAGUUCAUAUAAGCUUUUGAGAUACACCUAAUCUCCACACCAUCACAUGCCACCUCUGGUCCCCAAAAGUCUAUGUACAUCUCACCAUGCAAAAUACAUUUCAGUGCAUUCCAAGAGCCCCCCUAAUAUUAAUAGUUCCAUUGCUGCCCAAAACUUCAAGUUGAAAGACUCCUUUGAGUCUCAAGUCAAACACUUGGUUGUGAGCCCUUGUAAGAAUCAAAAUCAACUUAUGAUUAUCCAAUAUAAAGGGGCAGAGAGUAAAUAUUCCCAUUCCAAAAGGGAGAACUAGGCACAUAGCAAGAAUAGGUGGGACCAAAUCAAGACAAAAUCCCAGCUGGGCUAACAAGUCCUGUAUCACUAUGUCCAGUAUCUGGGGCCCAUGACUGUACAGAAUGGGCUCCAAAGGCUCAGGCAGCCCUGUCCCUUGGCCUCUCACAUAGGCUGGCUCUAUCCUUAGGUAGCAAAAUAUCUUGGCAGGUGUUGCUUAGUACUGGCAACACUUCAUCCCACAGUUCUCUUGCAGCUUCAGCUUCCUUUUCACAGAUGCACACAUGACCCUCUCAGGACCUACGUACAGGGAUUCUCACUUCUUCACACUUUGAAUUGCCAGGCUUUCUUUUGAAAUCUUGGCAGAAGCCAAUAUGUCCACCUAACUCCAGCAUCCUGCUUUCCUGCAGUACCAGCACCCUGUGGUUGAAGCCAAGGUCUGCCACCAUCUCAAGAAGUAGCCAAGCACCUGGGGACCAUGGUUGCUGUAACCUUUGAAUGUCUGUUUGACUGAGCAUGGCAAAACCACGGACCCCUGUGCCAGCAGGGUGCCCCCAUGGUCUCUUUUCAAAGAAAUUUUCACUUCUAUAUCCUUUGAGCCUGAGUUGGGUAUGGUGUUGCCAAUUCCUGGGAUGCCCUCAAGACAUCUCUCCUAUUGUCCCUGAGUAAAUCAUUGACCAUGUCUUUAGUGAUUGUAAUGCUUUAACAGCCACAACUUCCUGAGUCCUAGUUUUACUCAGACUUUUCUGGCCAAAAUGCAAGUUUACCAUCUGCUGUUUGCUCCUCAUUAUUUCGGUUAAUCUGGAUAAAAGAUGCUAGCAAUAUCCAUACCACUGCCUGAAUACUGUACUGCCUUGAAAUUUUUUCCAAUAGAAAAAUUAGUACAUCACCCUAAAUUCAACCACAGACAGUGUCAGGACAUGGGUAAUAUAAUAGACAGUAUCUUUGCCAGAAUGUAACAUGAAUGACCUCUAUUCCCAUUUCCAACAGAGUUCCCCUCCUCUGCAACCUCAUGAGCACAAUCUUUACUAAUUACAGUCUUAUCAAUCAACAUUAUGAUCAUCAGAACUUCACCAGAAUCACACAUUAAGAUCUGCUUACAGAUCCAUCUUGCAUCUCUAAAUUUUUCUAAAAUUCCUACCCCAAAUUCUAAAAGCUUUAGAAGUUCCUGAACCACAGGAUCAGAUUAGU
Molecule: long non-coding RNA, 1973 nt
Filed under: Marmota monax (woodchuck)
Lineage: Eukaryota; Metazoa; Chordata; Mammalia; Rodentia; Sciuridae
Source: RNAcentral